Molecule: small nucleolar RNA, 125 nt
Organism: Anguilla rostrata (American eel)
Lineage: Eukaryota; Metazoa; Chordata; Actinopteri; Anguilliformes; Anguillidae
Product: small nucleolar RNA ACA64
Exons: 1
Source: RefSeq, a predicted model, not a curated record
ACAGCCUGAAAAUCGCCUCAGACAUGUCAGUUAUCUGGGGUGAGAUAACUGCCUAAAGAACAGGGAUACAUUAAGCUCAUUGCCUGCUUUUAUAACAGUGGAAUAAGACCUGUGUGUCCACAUUU